GAUGAACGCUGGCGGCGUGCCUAAUACAUGCAAGUCGAUCGAAAAGACGAGGAUCUUGCUCCUCUCAAGUUAGCGGCGGACGGGUGAGUAACACGUGAAUAACCUACCUAUAGGACUGAGAUACCGUCGGGAAACCGGAGCUAAUACCAGAUAAGAUAGUGAACCGCAUGGUUCAAUAGAGAAAGACGGUUCUGCUGUCACUUGUAUAUGAUUCCCGGCCGACUGAGCUAGUUGGUAAGGAAACGGCUUACCAAGGCAACGAUGCGUAGGCGACAUGAGAGGGAGAUCGGGCACACUGGAACGGGGGCACGGUCAAGAGUCCUACGAGAGGCAGCAGUAGGGACUAUGGCGCGAAGGGCGAGAGAUUGACGGAGCAACGGCGCGUCAGUGAUGAAGGUCUUCGGAGUGUAAAACGCUGUUAUUAGGGAAGAAAAAAUGUGUAAGUAACUAUGAACGUCUUGACGGUACCUGCUCAGAAAGCAACGGCUAAGUACGUG
This 497-nucleotide ribosomal RNA is filed under the name uncultured bacterium. RNAcentral's name for it is "partial 16S ribosomal RNA". It matches the Rfam family "Bacterial small subunit ribosomal RNA", at positions 28 to 507 of the family's 1533-position model. The record is from RNAcentral.